UGGGGAAUAUUGCACAAUGGGCGCAAGCCUGAUGCAGCCAUGCCGCGUGUAUGAAGAAGGCCUUCGGGUUGUAAAGUACUUUCAGUCGGGAGGAAGGUGGUAAGGUUAAUAACCUUAUCAAUUGACGUUACCGACAGAAGAAGCACCGGCUAACUCCGUGCCAGCAGCCGCGGUAAUACGGAGGGUGCAAGCGUUAAUCGGAAUUACUGGGCGUAAAGCGCACGCAGGCGGUUUGUUAAGUCAGAUGUGAAAUCCCCGGGCUCAACCUGGGAACUGCAUCUGAUACUGGCAAGCUUGAGUCUCGUAGAGGGGGGUAGAAUUCCAGGUGUAGCGGUGAAAUGCGUAGAGAUGUGGAGGAAUACCGGUGGCGAAGGCGGCCCCCUGGACAAAGACUGACGCUCAGGUGCGAAAGCGUGGGGAGCAAACAGG
This 429-nucleotide ribosomal RNA is filed under the name Chloroflexota bacterium. RNAcentral's name for it is "Chloroflexi bacterium partial 16S ribosomal RNA". It matches the Rfam family "Bacterial small subunit ribosomal RNA", at positions 355 to 776 of the family's 1533-position model. The record is from RNAcentral. Lineage: Bacteria; Bacillati; Chloroflexota.